GAUGAACGUGGGCGGCGUGCCUAAUACAUGCAAGUAGAACGAGUUCUCGUUGAUGAUCGGUGCUUGCACCGAGAUUCAACAUGGAACGAGUGGCGGACGGAUGAGUAACACGUGGGUAACCUGCCCUUAAGUGGGGGAUAACAUUUGGAAACAGAUGCUAAUCCCGCAUAGAUCCAAGAACCGCAUGGUUUUUGGCUGAAAGAUGGCGUAAGCUAUCACUUUUGGAUGGACCCGCGGCGUAUGAGGUAGUUGGUGAGGUAACGGCUCACCAAGGCGAUGAUAUGUAGCCGAACUGAGAGGUUGAUCGGCCACAUAGGGACUGAGACACGGCCCAAACUCCUACGGGAGGCAGCAUAGGGAAUCUUCCACAAUGGACGCAAGUCUGAUGGAGCAACGCCGCCUGAGUGAAGAAGGCUUUCGGGUUGUAAAACUCUGUUGUGGAGAAGAAGGUCGGCAGAGUAACU
Molecule: ribosomal RNA, 464 nt
Filed under: Lactobacillus sp. oral taxon H12
Lineage: Bacteria; Bacillati; Bacillota; Bacilli; Lactobacillales; Lactobacillaceae
Description: bacterial SSU rRNA
Rfam family: Bacterial small subunit ribosomal RNA
Source: RNAcentral